This 301-nucleotide ribosomal RNA is filed under the name uncultured bacterium. RNAcentral's name for it is "partial 16S ribosomal RNA". It matches the Rfam family "Bacterial small subunit ribosomal RNA", at positions 509 to 807 of the family's 1533-position model. The record is from RNAcentral.
CAGUCGCCACGGUAAUACGUAGGGUGCAAGCGUUAAUCGGAAUUACUGGGCGUAAAGCGUGCGCAGGCGGUUCGCUAAGACAGAUGUGAAAUCCCCGGGCUUAACCUGGGAACUGCAUUUGUGACUGGCGGGCUAGAGUAUGGCAGAGGGGGGUAGAAUUCCACGUGUAGCAGUGAAAUGCGUAGAGAUGUGGAGGAAUACCGAUGGCGAAGGCAGCCCCCUGGGCCAAUACUGACGCUCAUGCGCGAAAGCGUGGGGAGCAAACAGGAUUAGAUACCCGUGUAGUCCCUGUCUCUUAUAC